GACGAACGCUGGCGGCGUGCUUAACACAUGCAAGUCGAACGGUGAAGCGCCUUCCUUUUUGGUGGGUGUGGAUGAGUGGCGAACGGGUGAGUAACACGUGAGUAACCUGCCCCCUUCUUCUGGAUAACCGCAUGAAAGUGUGGCUAAUACGGGAUAUUCUGGGUCUGUCGCAUGAUGGGUCUGGGAAAGAUAUUGUUUCGGUGGGGGAUGGGCUCGCGGCCUAUCAGCUUGUUGGUGGGGUGAUGGCCUACCAAGGCGGUGACGGGUAGCCGGCCUGAGAGGGUGGACGGGCACACUGGGACUGAGACACGGCCCAGACUCGUACGGGAGGCAGCAGUGGGGAAUAUUGCACAAUGGGCGCAAGACUGAUGCGGCGACGCCGCGUGAGGGAUGGAGGCCUUCGGGUUGUGAACCUCUUUCGCCAGUGAAGCAGGCCUGCCUCGUUUGUGGGUGGGUUGACGGUAGCUGGAGAAGAAGCGCCGGCUAACUACGUG
Molecule: ribosomal RNA, 494 nt
Filed under: uncultured bacterium
Lineage: Bacteria
Description: partial 16S ribosomal RNA
Rfam family: Bacterial small subunit ribosomal RNA
Source: RNAcentral